AGUGAACGCUGGCGGCGGGCCUAAUACAUGCAAGUCGAGCGGCCGGACGGGGGCAACGCUGGUCGCACGCGGCGGACGGGUGAGGAAUUCGUCGGAAUCUGCCUUUUCGUGGGGGCUAACGUAAGUACAGGAAAGCUAAUAUCGUAUACGUCAUUCGGUAGAACGUGAGGGAUCGCAAGGCCUCACGCAGUAAGAUGUCCCCACGACAGAUUAGCUAGUUGGUGGGGUAACGGCCUACCAAGGCGACGAUCCGUAGCUGGUCUGAGAGGCUGAUCAGCCACACUGGAACUGAGACACGGCCCAGACUCCUACGGGAGGCAGCAGUAGGGAAUAUUGGACAAUGGGCGAAAGCCUGAUGCAGCCAUGCCGCGUGUGUGAUGAAGGUCUUCGGAUUGUAAAGCACUUUUAUUCGGGAAGAAAACCCGUGUGCUAAUACCUUCGCGGCUUGACGGUACCGAAAGAGUAAGCACCGGCUAACUACGUG
RNAcentral lists this ribosomal RNA (484 nucleotides) under uncultured bacterium. Its description in RNAcentral is "partial 16S ribosomal RNA". It matches the Rfam family "Bacterial small subunit ribosomal RNA", at positions 29 to 507 of the family's 1533-position model. The record is from RNAcentral.